UACGGAGGAUCCAAGCGUUAUCCGGAUUUAUUGGGCUUAAAGGGUGCGUAGGCGGCCUGUUAAGUCAGGGGUGAAAGACGGUAGCUCAACUAUCGCAGUGCCCUUGAUACUGAUGGGCUUGAAUGGACUAGAGGUAGGCGGAAUGUGACAAGUAGCGGUGAAAUGCAUAGAUAUGUCACAGAACACCGAUUGCGAAGGCAGCUUACUAUGGUCUUAUUGACGCUGAGGCACGAAAGCGUGGGGAGCAAACAGG
RNAcentral lists this ribosomal RNA (253 nucleotides) under uncultured bacterium. RNAcentral describes it as "partial 16S ribosomal RNA". It matches the Rfam family "Bacterial small subunit ribosomal RNA", at positions 524 to 776 of the family's 1533-position model. The record is from RNAcentral.